RNAcentral lists this ribosomal RNA (253 nucleotides) under uncultured bacterium. Its description in RNAcentral is "partial 16S ribosomal RNA". It matches the Rfam family "Bacterial small subunit ribosomal RNA", at positions 524 to 776 of the family's 1533-position model. The record is from RNAcentral.
UACAGAGGUCUCAAGCGUUGUUCGGAUUCAUUGGGCGUAAAGGGUGCGUAGGCGGCGCGGUAAGUCGGGUGUGAAAUCUUGGAGCUUAACUCCGAAACUGCAUUCGAUACUGCCGUGCUUGAGGACUGGAGAGGAGACUGGAAUUUACGGUGUAGCGGUGAAAUGCGUAGAUAUCGUAAGGAAGACCAGUGGCGAAGGCGGGUCUCUGGACAGUUCCUGACGCUGAAGUACGAAGGCCAGGGGAGCAAACGGG